RNAcentral lists this microRNA (20 nucleotides) under Anolis carolinensis (green anole). RNAcentral's name for it is "aca-miR-132-5p". Its record names the gene aca-miR-132-5p. The record is from miRBase by way of RNAcentral. Lineage: Eukaryota; Metazoa; Chordata; Lepidosauria; Squamata; Anolidae.
ACCGUGGCUUUAGAUUGUUA